CCUACGGGAGGCAGCAGCGAGGAAUCUUGCGCAAUGGGCGAAAGCCUGACGCAGCAACGCCGCGUGGACGAUGAAGGCCUUCGGGUCGUAAAGUCCUUUUCUGUGGGAAGAUCGUGACGGUACCACAGGAAUAAGCAUCGGCUAACUACGUGCCAGCAGCCGCGGUAAUACGUAGGAUGCAAACGUUGUCCGGAUUUAUUGGGCGUAAGGAGUGCGUAGGCGGCUUCUUAAGUGGGGCGUGAAAUCCCCCGGCUUAACCGGGGAGGGUCGUCCUAAACUGGGGGGCUUGAGGGUAGAAGAAGAGAGCGAAAUUCCCGGUGUAGGGGUGAAAUGCGUAGAUAUCGGGAGGAACACCUGUGGCGAGGGCGGCUCUCUAGGCUAUUCCUGACGCUGAGGCACGAAAGCGUGGGGAGCGAACGGGAUUAGAUACCCCUGUAGU
RNAcentral lists this ribosomal RNA (439 nucleotides) under uncultured bacterium. Its description in RNAcentral is "partial 16S ribosomal RNA". It matches the Rfam family "Bacterial small subunit ribosomal RNA", at positions 338 to 794 of the family's 1533-position model. The record is from RNAcentral.